AAUACAAGUAUAGUGGAUUGGAAUUCCCAAGUAGGAGCUUGGAGAGUGGAUGUAGGUGCAAGGUUGGCACCGAACCACUAUAAAUCCUUGUGUUUGUGGUGUGCUUUAUUGUUUCCCUUUAUUUCUUUAUUAUAUCCUUGCAUUCUUGCUUUAGGUAAUUAAUCUUGAAUUAAAGUCUUUGUUCUCGUUCAUCAUAAGUAAUUAAUUAAGCCUAAAAUUUUUAGAAACCCAAUUCACCCCCCCUCUUGGGUUGCAUAGCUGGGCAACAGAGAUCAUCCCUACCUUCGGUAGCUUCGACAUUAAGCAGAUCCCAAGAGCAGAAAAUACCAGGGCCGACCUUCUCUCCAAGCUGGCUACACUAGCUCCGACUGAACUGCCUAAGGAAGUCUUCUUCGAAGUUCUGAGGUGCCCAAGCAUGGAAGAAUCACAGCCUAUGAUGGAGAUCGGCCAUGAACCCAGUU
This 461-nucleotide long non-coding RNA is filed under the name Elaeis guineensis (African oil palm). Its description in RNAcentral is "long non-coding RNA (EGUI_LNC082674)". Lineage: Eukaryota; Viridiplantae; Streptophyta; Magnoliopsida; Arecales; Arecaceae. The record is from RNAcentral.